UAGGUGUAGGGUGGCUUUUACCAUGCAAGUCGAACGGCAGCACGGGAGCUUGCUCCUGGUGGCGAGUGGCGAACGGGUGAGUAAUGCAUCGGAAUGUACCGUGUAAUGGGGGAUAGCUCGGCGAAAGCCGGAUUAAUACCGCAUACGCCCUGAGGGGGAAAGCGGGGGACCGAAAGGCCUCGCGUUAUACGAGCAGCCGAUGUCUGAUUAGCUAGUUGGUGAGGUAAGAGCUCACCAAGGCGACGAUCAGUAGCGGGUCUGAGAGGAUGAUCCGCCACACUGGGACUGAGACACGGCCCAGACUCCUACGGGAGGCAGCAGUGGGGAAUUUUGGACAAUGGGCGCAAGCCUGAUCCAGCCAUGCCGCGUGUCUGAAGAAGGCCUUCGGGUUGUAAAGGACUUUUGUUCGGGAGGAAAUCCCGCUGGUUAAUACCUGGCGGGGAUGACAGUACCGGAAGAAUAAGCACCGGCUAACUACGUGCCAGCAGCCGCGGUAAUACGUAGGGUGCAAGCGUUAAUCGGAAUUACUGGGCGUAAAGCGUGCGCAGGCGGUUUGUGCAAGUCUGAUGUGAAAGCCCCGGGCUCAACCUGGGAACGGCAUUGGAGACUGCACGACUAGAGUGCGUCAGAGGGGGGUAGAAUUCCGCGUGUAGCAGUGAAAUGCGUAGAGAUGCGGAGGAAUACCCGAUGGCGAAGGCACCCCCCUGGGAUGACUCUGACGCUCUUGCACGAAAGCGUGGGGAGCAAACAGGAUUAAAUUACCCU
RNAcentral lists this ribosomal RNA (765 nucleotides) under Chromobacterium piscinae. RNAcentral describes it as "bacterial SSU rRNA". It matches the Rfam family "Bacterial small subunit ribosomal RNA", at positions 30 to 788 of the family's 1533-position model. Lineage: Bacteria; Pseudomonadati; Pseudomonadota; Betaproteobacteria; Neisseriales; Chromobacteriaceae. The record is from RNAcentral.